Leucoraja erinaceus (little skate) is the source of this 3959-nucleotide long non-coding RNA. RefSeq lists it as uncharacterized. NCBI's taxonomy places the organism in Eukaryota, Metazoa, Chordata, Chondrichthyes, Rajiformes, Rajidae. The transcript has 3 exons. The record is from RefSeq and is a predicted model, not a curated record.
UUUGUUAUAUGAGCUCCUCUAUAAUCUUUGGCACAGACUGCCACUCAUCGGUCUGAAGGGAGUCUGAAGAAAGGUCUUCGACCCGAAACGUUGCCCAUUCCUUCUCUCCACACAUGCUGCCCAAAGAUGUUAUAUUAAGAUCUUUGAUGCUGCCUGUCCCGCUGAAUUACUCCGGCAUUUUGUGUCGACAUUAGGCUGCAGUUGGGACCCAGUUGAGGGGAAUGGAUGGAUGGAGCCGGGAGAGCUCAUCUCUCCAAAGACCUGCUUCUGCUGUAGGAUGGGAAGCAGCAAAUAAUUGAACAUUGGAAGAAACACCGUUUUAAACAAGAAGCCGCUCACCGUCGCUGGCCUUCGCCGAGCCCGACCGCCCCGUUAACCGCGCGCGCGCGCGACCGUUGGGCCUUUGAACGGGUGGCGGGAACGUGCGCGGUAAAAUAAAAACACAAGGAGGAAGGUUUGCGGUCGACACUCGCUUGUAAAUGUGGCGAUUGGUAAAUUUGCCGGUCGAGGACGAGAGAGAAGAAAAAUAGGACAGCAGAAGGUCAUGGAAUCUCAGAAUUGUGGAAUUGCCUGAAGAUAUUGUGGAAAGUUACCAAAAUUUCAACUUUUUCACAAACUGCCAAACAUCAUUAUUUUCACUUUGAAGAAUACAGGCGAGGAAAGGAUAAAUGAUCCUCUCAAGCUCUGUCAGGUUGGACGUGUAUCAUUGAUGCGCAGCUAUUGGGUCCCUCCAGAGAUGUUCGAUCGGGUUCAAGUCCGGGCUCUGGCUGGGCCACUCAAGGACAUUCACAGACUUGUCACAAAGCCACCAGCGUUGUCUUGACUGUGCUUAGGGUCGUUGUCCUGUUGGAAGGUGAACCUCCGCCCCAGUCUGAGGUCCAGAACGCUCUGGAGCAGGUUUUCAUCAAGGAUCUCUCUGUACUUUGCUCCGUUCGUCUUUCCCUCGAUCCUGACUAGUCACCCAGUUUCUGCCGCUGAAAAACAUCCCCACAGCAUGAUGCUGCAACCACCAUGCUUCACGGUAGGAAUGGUAUUGGCCAGGUGAUGAGCAGUGCCUGGUUUCCUCCAGAUGUGUCGCUUGGCACUCAGGGCAAAGAGUUCAACCUUGAUUUCAUCAGGCCAGAGAAUCUUGUUUCUCAUGCCUUUUGGCAAACUACUAAGCAGGCUGUCACGUGCCUUUUACUGAGGAGUGGCUUCCAUCUGGCCACUCUACCAUAAAGGCCUAAUUGGUGGAGUGCUGCAGAUAUAGUUGUUCUUCAGGAAGGUUCUCCCAUCUCCACAGGGGAAUUCUGGAGCUCUGUCAGAGUGACAGUUCUUGGUCACCUCCCUGAUCAAGGCCCCCUCUCCCGAUUGCUCAGUUUGGCCGGGCGGCCAGCUCUAUGAAGUCCUGUGGUUCCAAUGUUCUUCCAUUUAAGAAUGGCAGAGGCUCUUCGGGACCUGCAAUGCUGCAGAAACUGCUUUAUAUCCUUCCCCAGAUCUGUAUCUCAACAUAAUCCUGUCUUGGAGGUCUGCAGACAAUUCCUUCGUUUUCACGGCUUGGUUUUUGCUCUGACAUGCACUUCUUCUUCUUCUUCGGAGUUUUACGGCAGCCGGCAUCCACAAUGUUGCAUUGCUGCCACCUUCUGGCUUCACUCCACAGUCCUCAUGUCUUUACUUUAUAUCCUUUUUAUAAGGCCAGAGGCCCUCAAGAAAUUAAACAACAAAUUUACUCCUUUUCCUUCCCCUCCAUACUCUAGAAUGUUCUUUUCUGAUAUAUCUGUCAUUCCAAUUUUCUUCAUUUCAUUGAUCAAAACUCUUCUUUCUGUUGCAUAUCUUCUACAUGCAACUAGAGCAUGCUGAACGGUUUCCGGCUGAUGGCAUUCCUCACACAUCCCAGUAGGGUGUUUUCCCAACAUUUUUAAUGUGCUGUUCAGGUGGGUGUGUCCUAUCCUCAAUCUUGCUAAUACUACCUGUUCUCUCCUGUUCCCCCCUCUUCUUGCUGUAAUGCCCACUCUGUUUUGUAGCGAAUAGAGGUGUCUCCCCUUUGUCUCCUCAAGUCAAGUCAAGUCAAGUUUAUUUGUCACAUACACAUACGAGAUGUGCAGCGAAAUGAAAGUGGCAAUGCUCGCGGACCUUUGUGCAAAAGACAAACAACAAAACAACCAAACAAAUUAUAAACACAAUCAUAACACACAUAUUCUUUUACAUAAUAAAUAAUAGAAGAUUCUGUUCCCAGUAUUAUUGCCAUUCCUGAUUUAUUUUCUUCCACACAAUGUGUCUUCCUUCAGAUUUGGAUAAUUGUAGGUUUACCUCUAUGUUCUCUUUUUUAACGGCCUCUUUUGCUAAUUUAUCCACUUUUUCAUUUCCUAGCACACCAAUGUGUGCUGGGACCCACAACAAAGUCACGUCACUGCCCUUCCUUGUUACUUGGCUUAAUAGUAGUAGAAUUUCAUACACUAGGUCAGGCCGCCUAUGGGACGCACCAGACCCAAUACUCUGGAUUGCAGACAAUGAGUCGCUACAAAUUAAUAUUUUGCAUGGUUGCACCUGUUCUAUCCACCGAACUGCCAUCAAAAUAGCGUACAGUUCCACUGUAUAUACUGCCAAAUAGUUAUUUGUUCUUUUGCAAAUCUCAACAUUCAACCCUUGCACUACCACAGCUGCCCCUGUUGUUUCAGCUACUGGGUCCUUUGAUCCAUCCAAGAUUAAGAGGUGUUCCCUGUAUCUAUUAUAUAUAUGGUUAUGGUAUUCUGUUUUUAGGUCCGAAUUUUUCUCCCUCCUUUUUGCCUCCCAUAUCCCAUAUCUCCAGAUCAACUUUUGGGAUGUUCAGUAACCAUAUUGGGACAGGUGGCCACAAUACUGCAGGGCAGAACUCUUUGUCCUCUACUUCCAUGUCCCUUGCCACACCUCCUCCAACCCAGCCGAAGCUUCCAGACUGAGCCACCCCUCUCUCCCAGCACUCCUGUACUACCUGUUUUGUUGGGUGGUUCUCUCCAUGACCCUUAAGGCUUAGCCAGUAAUUAGCCAUUAGUUGUCUGCGGCGCAGUCUCAACGGCAUCUCCCCAGUUUCCACCUGUAGUGCACAUACAGGUGACGUCCGCACACCUCCUAUACAGAUUCUUAGAGCUUCCGCUUGGACUUUGUCCAACUCGGACAACACUGACUUAGAUGCUGAUCCAUAAGCUAUACUGCCAUACUCUAGUCUGGAUCUGAUCAGUGAUACAUAGAUGUGUUUAAGCGAUAAUAUAUCUGCUCCCCACUCUAAACCUGUCAAGCAUCUCAUUACAUUGAUGGCUUUUUUGCAUUUUCCAAUUAUUUUUGUAAUGUGGACCCUCCAUGUUAAUCUGGAGUCAAAGUGGACUCCCAGGAAACAGAAAUCUUUUACUCUUUCUAAAUUGUUGCCGUAUAGUUUUAACUGGACAUCCUCUUUAAUUUUCUUCCUUGUGAAAACCAUUGUCUUUGUCUUCUCUAUAGAGAAUUUAAAACCCCAUUUCACUCCCCACUCUUCCACCUGGGCUAUCCCUUGCUGUACUUUUUCCACGAUAAAAUCUAUAUUCCUCCCCCUUCUCCAUAGGCUGCCAUCAUCUGCAAAGAGCGUCUGACAUGCACUGUCUACUGUGGGACCUUAUAUAGACAGGUGUGUGCCUUUCCAAAUUAUGCCCAAUCAAUUUAAUUUACCACAGGUGCACUCCAAUCAAGUUGUAGAAACAUCCCAAGGAUAAUUAAUGGAAACAGGAUGAACCUAAGCUCAAUUUUGAGUGUCAUAGCAAAGGGUCUGAAUACAAUACAAUACAAUACAAUUUAUUUGCAGCCUUAUUCUAAGGCUUAUGUAAAUGUGAUAUUUCAGUAUUUAUUUUUAAUUUGCAAAAAUUUCUAAUCACCUGUUUUCACUUCUUCAUUCUGGGGUAUUGUGUGCAGAUUGAUGAUUAAAAAUAUGAAUUCAAUCCAUUUUAAAAUAAAGCUGUAACAAUAAAAUAUGG